AUGUGCUCCGUCUCACAUCUCUACUGCUACUUCUUCUUCUUCGAACACCGCCUUCGAUUCAACACUUCUGAUACAUCUUCGUCUCCAAUCGCGAACCUCGCUUCAAUCACAUUGCACCUUCAAUCUGAGAAGAAGAGAAAACCAGAGUUGUUGCAUUGGAGAAGGUUGAUGAAGGUUAGGAGCGAAGAUGAUGAAUGCUAG
Vicia faba (fava bean) is the source of this 201-nucleotide non-coding RNA. The record is from the annotation of a GenBank genome assembly. Lineage: Eukaryota; Viridiplantae; Streptophyta; Magnoliopsida; Fabales; Fabaceae.